ACUCCUGCGGGAGGCAGCAGUGGGGAAUAUUGCACAAUGGGCGCAAGCCUGAUGCAGCCAUGCCGCGUGUAUGAAGAAGGCCUUCGGGUUGUAAAGUACUUUCAGCGGGGAGGAAGGCGAUAAGGUUAAUAACCUUGUCGAUUGACGUUACCCGCAGAAGAAGCACCGGCUAACUCCGUGCCAGCAGCCGCGGUAAUACGGAGGGUGCAAGCGUUAAUCGGAAUUACUGGGCGUAAAGCGCACGCAGGCGGUCUGUCAAGUCGGAUGUGAAAUCCCCGGGCUCAACCUGGGAACUGCAUUCGAAACUGGCAGGCUAGAGUCUUGUAGAGGGGGGUAGAAUUCCAGGUGUAGCGGUGAAAUGCGUAGAGAUCUGGAGGAAUACCGGUGGCGAAGGCGGCCCCCUGGACAAAGACUGACGCUCAGGUGCGAAAGCGUGGGGAGCAAACAGGAUUAGAAACCCUUGUAGUCCCA
Molecule: ribosomal RNA, 471 nt
Filed under: uncultured organism
Description: partial 16S ribosomal RNA
Rfam family: Bacterial small subunit ribosomal RNA
Source: RNAcentral